Molecule: ribosomal RNA, 277 nt
Filed under: uncultured prokaryote
Description: partial 16S ribosomal RNA
Rfam family: Bacterial small subunit ribosomal RNA
Source: RNAcentral
UACGGAGGGUGCAAGCGUUGUUCGGAAUUAUUGGGCGUAAAGGGCGCGUAGGCGGUAAUGCUAGUCAGAUGUGAAAUACUCCGGCUCAACCGGGGAACUGCAUCUGAAACUGCAUAACUAGAGUACAGAAGAGGGAAACGGAAUUCCCGGUGUAGAGGUGAAAUUCGUAGAUAUCGGGAGGAACACCGGUGGCGAAGGCGGUUUCCUGGUCUGAUACUGACGCUGAGGCGCGAAAGUGUGGGGAGCAAACAGGAUUAGAUACCCUGGUAGUCCCUGA